Molecule: unclassified non-coding RNA, 332 nt
Filed under: soil metagenome
Description: partial contains 5.8S ribosomal RNA, internal transcribed spacer 2, and large subunit ribosomal RNA
Rfam family: 5.8S ribosomal RNA (bases 1-120)
Source: RNAcentral
GAUGAAGAACGUAGCAAAAUGCGAUAAGUAAUGUGAAUUGCAGAAUUCAGUGAAUCAUCGAAUCUUUGAACGCACAUUGCGCCCGCCAGUAUUCUGGCGGGCAUGCCUGUUCGAGCGUCAUUUCAACCCUCAAGCACAGCUUGGUGUUGGGACUCGCGUUAAUUCGCGUUCCCCAAAUUGAUUGGCAGUCACGUCGAGCUCCCAUAGCGUAGUAGUAAAACCCUCGUUACUGGUAAUCGUCGCGGCCACGCCGUUAAACCCCAACUUCUGAAUGUUGACCUCGGUUCAGGUAGGAAUACCCGCUGAACUUAAGCAUAUCAAUAAGCGGAGGA